This 473-nucleotide ribosomal RNA is filed under the name uncultured organism. RNAcentral's name for it is "partial 16S ribosomal RNA". It matches the Rfam family "Bacterial small subunit ribosomal RNA", at positions 332 to 797 of the family's 1533-position model. The record is from RNAcentral.
UACACUCCUACGGGAGGCAGCAGUAGGGAAUCUUCGGCAAUGGGGGCAACCCUGACCGAGCAACGCCGCGUGAGUGAAGAAGGUUUUCGGAUCGUAAAGCUCUGUUGUAAGUCAAGAACGAGUGUGAGAGUGGAAAGUUCACACUGUGACGGUAGCUUACCAGAAAGGGACGGCUAACUACGUGCCAGCAGCCGCGGUAAUACGUAGGUCCCGAGCGUUGUCCGGAUUUAUUGGGCGUAAAGCGAGCGCAGGCGGUUUGAUAAGUCUGAAGUUAAAGGCUGUGGCUCAACCAUAGUUCGCUUUGGAAACUGUCAAACUUGAGUGCAGAAGGGGAGAGUGGAAUUCCAUGUGUAGCGGUGAAAUGCGUAGAUAUAUGGAGGAACACCGGUGGCGAAAGCGGCUCUCUGGUCUGUAACUGACGCUGAGGCUCGAAAGCGUGGGGAGCGAACAGGAUUAGAUACCCUUGUAGUCCC